UGGAAUUAGAAUUUAAGGUAAGACUUCUACGGGGAUGGAAUUAGAAUUUAAGGUAAGACAUCUACGGGGAUGGAAUUAGAAUUUAAGGUAAGACUUCUAUGGGGAUGGAAUUAGAAUUUAAGGUAAGACAUCUACGGGGA
Molecule: long non-coding RNA, 140 nt
Organism: Mytilus californianus (California mussel)
Lineage: Eukaryota; Metazoa; Mollusca; Bivalvia; Mytilida; Mytilidae
Exons: 3
Source: RefSeq, a predicted model, not a curated record